This 2400-nucleotide long non-coding RNA is filed under the name Musa acuminata (dwarf banana). RNAcentral describes it as "long non-coding RNA (MACU_LNC010504)". The record is from RNAcentral. Lineage: Eukaryota; Viridiplantae; Streptophyta; Magnoliopsida; Zingiberales; Musaceae.
AAAGAUGUAAUGUGCUUCUCUCUCUUGAAAGAUGUAAUGUGCUUCUCUCUCUUGAAAGAACACCUAACGCACAGCGGAACAAGAACAAGGGUGCAACUCGUCUCGAGUCAAGUAGGUGUCUCAUCUCAGGGCAAGGGAAGAAUUCUAAGCUGGGGCAGGAAAGUGGGCUAAAUCAUUUCUAUCUAUCGAACUUCGACAACACUAGUACCAACACGAGUACCAACCUCUGAUCUUAGUGCCUAAGCUUGUUUCAACUCAACAUAACUUCUCAGAUCUUGAUUCCCUUGCUUCAACACACUGCCCUGCCCGGUACGCAAUUCAUUCUAUUACUUGUUCCGUCUUUUUUGGCCUAGACUAGACUUCACUCCUACAGCGUAAGAUACUUUACCUCUUUUGAUCCUGACUUUUGUUUGCACAGCCUCUUAAUAGGAUUCCACUUGGCCAUUAGUCGUAGCUUGUCCCCUCUCAAUAGGUAUUAAUUGUAGAAUCUAGUAGAUAUCCUAAUAUAGAAUCUAGUAUAUAUCCUAAUAGGAGUCAGGAUAGUUAGAAUGUCCUUUCCUUAAUAAGGAGGCUCUCCAGGGAGGACCAUUUCUUUCUUUUAAAGCAGUAUCAAGCAUUCGGAAUCAGAUUCAAUCAGAAUGCACACCUUUGUCCAAGGCAGCUAACAAUCCUGCUCUCACUGCUGCUGCUUCCAGGUAUAGCACACUCCAGCUUUGAAGAAACCAUCAACCAGCCAAGAAAGUAUCACCAGUAUGCAGAUAUCUAAGAACAUAUCAAGCAACCAGCCAAGAAAGUAUCACCGGAUCUAAUAACAUAUAAAGAAACCAGCCUGCAAAGAAAGUCAGUAUCACAAGUAUCGGAGGAUCUAAGAACAUAUCAAGCAACCAAACCAUUCAAUAUAGAGUAGUAGAAUUACCCAUCACAAUGAAGUUGAAACCAACCAGCAGACGGUUUGACCAUUUCAUUUGUAAGGGAUUCCCUAGAACCUGGCGACUAGAAGUUAUCCUCAUGAAGCAUAGGGCAAGCAAUAGUUCCAUAAAUCAGGCACGCACAUUGUAUAGUAUCAUUGGAAUCAGUUGGAUAGCAUCAUCAUUCCUAGCUCUCCAUUCCUAGCUCUAAAAAUAUACCAGAAACUAGUAACAUUAAUCUUAUACUGAUAAAGAGAAGCAUCCCGUCGUCUAUCAUUAGAAGGCCCCUUAUCCAAUCACAUUCAAUAGCACCAACCAAGAAAGGAUUGGAAUCGGACAUCUAAAUGAAGCGGAAAUGAAUCCCAGGACAUCUAAAUGAAGCUGAAAGAAAUCCCACACUGUAUAGGAGAAGGAGGAUUGAGAAAAUGGAUGAUCAAAAGAAAGACUCAGAAAGAGAACUAUAUAAUGGGCACGCAGCAGCAUACAAAAUGCCCAUAGAAGCAAAUAAGUAAGACAGGUGCAAAAGCAUCCAUCCAUCCUACAAUCAGUCAGACAAGGGUGGCGGCGAGGCGGCGGUGCAAAAGCAUCUAUCCUCAGAACUUAGAGGAAUGAUUGGGAGCUUCCACAAACAACGCCAUCGAUCCCCAAUAACGACUAGGGCCUAUAAGUUAGGAAAGGAGUCAAGUAUCCGGAGACAUGGUAUAAACCCUUUGCCAUCACCCCUUUGCCAUCAGGUUUCUCAAAGUUCUAUCAUUAGGCUCUAAGGGAAUGUCUAUUCGACAAAUUAGAUCACACAUAUGUUGCCCGCUAAUACAUAUGGUCUUUCAUCCACAGUCGCUGAAUCAUCAAAGUGGAGAAACCAUAGAAUUCGAAUAUCUUUGAUUAAUCGAUUUUGGAAGUAGGUUGGACAGAAGCUAGUGGAAUGGAAUGGAAGAUUUGGAAGACAACUAUCAUUGAUUAUUAACCGAAUCCCCUUUAUAAAGAAUUGGAGAAUAACCACAACGAAGAGAAAACGGAGCCCUGACCCUUAAGCCUCCAACACUAACUGUGUUUAUUAUAUUGAUUGAUCUACAAAGGCAAGUUAUAACGAUCUACAAAGGCAAGUUAUAACUGUGUUUAUUAUAUUGAUUGAUCUACAAAGCUAGUUUACAAUCCGACUAUUUUGCCAAGACCACACGAACCCCAAAACUAUUUAGAUUGAUUUAGGUAUUGGAAAACACUUUGACCUUGAAGAGCAUAUUGGGGAAUAUGGAAGUCCCGCUAUUCCUAAACCACCAACCCCAUUUGGGAAGAGUUACAGUCUCUCAAGAAAGUCAAUGUAGUCCAUUAGAUUGAUUCCCUCUUUAGUCAAUGUAGUCCAUUAGAUUGAUUCCCUCUUGACUAUAUAUAUAUCAAUAGAAUUCCCCCAAUAUUUCGAUUCUUAAUAAUAAUGGAAUUAGUUAGCCAAGAGAGAAACACAGAGUAUUUAAAGGCAAUGAGUUAAUCAGCACAA